This 245-nucleotide ribosomal RNA is filed under the name uncultured Thiobacillus sp. Its description in RNAcentral is "partial 16S ribosomal RNA". It matches the Rfam family "Bacterial small subunit ribosomal RNA", at positions 524 to 768 of the family's 1533-position model. Lineage: Bacteria; Pseudomonadati; Pseudomonadota; Betaproteobacteria; Nitrosomonadales; Thiobacillaceae. The record is from RNAcentral.
UACGUAGGGUGCGAGCGUUAAUCGGAAUUACUGGGCGUAAAGCGUGCGCAGGCGGAUAUUUAAGUCAGAUGUGAAAUCCCCGGGCUUAACCUGGGAAUUGCAUUUGAAACUGGAUGUCUAGAGUGCGUCAGAGGGGGGUGGAAUUCCACGUGUAGCAGUGAAAUGCGUAGAGAUGUGGAGGAACACCGAUGGCGAAGGCAGCCCCCUGGGAUGACACUGACGCUCAUGCACGAAAGCGUGGGGAG